GUCUACGGCCACACCACCCUGAACGCGCCCGAUCUCGUCUGAUCUCGGAAGCUAAGCAGGGUCGGGCCUGGUUAGUACUUGGAUGGGAGACAAAACAUCAUAUGAUAGGGAGUGAUAGGAA
This 121-nucleotide ribosomal RNA is filed under the name Mustela putorius furo (domestic ferret). Lineage: Eukaryota; Metazoa; Chordata; Mammalia; Carnivora; Mustelidae. The record is from RNAcentral.